RNAcentral lists this ribosomal RNA (331 nucleotides) under uncultured bacterium. Its description in RNAcentral is "bacterial SSU rRNA". It matches the Rfam family "Bacterial small subunit ribosomal RNA", at positions 568 to 898 of the family's 1533-position model. The record is from RNAcentral.
CGCGUAGGUGGUUGGCUAAGAUUGAUGUGAAAGCCCUGGGCUUAACCUAGGAAUGGCAUCGAUGACUGGCGAGCUAGAGUAGUGUAGAGGGCAGUGGAAUUUCCGGUGUAGCGGUGAAAUGCGUAGAGAUCGGAAGGAACACCGGUGGCGAAGGCGGCUGCCUGGACAGCUACUGACACUGAAGCGCGAAAGCGUGGGGAGCAAACAGGAUUAGAUACCCUGGUAGUCCACGCUGUAAACGAUGAAGACUAGAUGUUAAUCAGCGAGACUGAGUAGUAUCGAAGCAAACGCGAUAAGUCUUCCGCCUGGGGAGUACGGCCGCAAGGUUAAA